Molecule: ribosomal RNA, 253 nt
Filed under: uncultured bacterium
Lineage: Bacteria
Description: partial 16S ribosomal RNA
Rfam family: Bacterial small subunit ribosomal RNA
Source: RNAcentral
UACGUAGGUGGCAAGCGUUGUCCGGAUUUAUUGGGCGUAAAGAGCGCGCAGGCGGUCGUUCAAGUCGCGUGUGAAAGCCCCCGGCUCAACUGGGGAGGGUCACGCGAUACUGAUCGACUGGAAGGCAGGAGAGGGUAGUGGAAUUCCCGGUGUAGAGGUGAAAUGCGUAGAUAUCGGGAGGAACACCUGUGGCGAAAGCGGCGCACUGGACCACAACUGACGCUGAGGCGCGAAAGCUAGGGGAGCAAACAGG